AAUCUGGAAACCUCGCCGCUUACCGCUGCCGCUGCCGUUCUGCAAUCGGGCUGUGGUUUAUAAAUAGACCGUAUUUCUUGCCAUAUCAUUAUCUCCAUGGUAGCUCCUUCCUCCUGUCGUAAUGGCCCGCGGCGUUCGGGUCGGCCUCCUCGGUCGCGGGGGGCUGUGGUUGGCCGGCGUGGUGGCCGUUCUGCUACGUCUGCCCGUGGUGUCCGCUCAAGCCGUAUGUAUGGAGCAUGCUCCGCCGUCUGAUGAUCGGCCGUUGUGUUGGGGUGGCCGCUCUGUACAGCCUUCCGGUUCUGGAUGAGCGGCAGAUUUUGUGGCGCAAUCUGGGUCUUGUUCUCUGUCAUCGGACUCUGCUGUUGGUGGUUCUUGUGGGUAGCGGAGGGAGGAGAUUCGGUUGGGAAAGCGGGCCUGUUGAUCCCACUCUCAAUCGACGACGAACAACAGAGAAGCGAACCGGCGAAGCAAGCAGCACAUCGGGGGGAGGUGGUCACUUGCAAGUCAACCGCGCGACGGGUGAGCAGAGCGGCUCGCACCCGCGCCAAGGAAAAAGGAGGGGGCCGGAAGAUGGGGGGACGAGGCGCUCUGCUACAUCCGCGGCCAGAGAUCACGAGGGAGCAGGAGCAAAUCGGUGAUGGAAAUCAUGAGCACGGAAACGCAAAUCACACGGCCAAGCAAAACACACGAGGAUGGCUAGCUGCUACCAUCCACGGGAUGAGAGCAAUGGGUUUGAGAGAUGCAGCAUACUCAAGGCCGAGAAGGGAUUUUCACGAAAGGCGUAAAUGUUCAUUUUAAUCUAUGUUUUGCAUCAGGGUCUUCAGAAUGUAGGCAAGAUUUUAGAGAAGUUGUUUUUGUAGGCAACACAAGGAGAUAUAAGUAGGCAAAAAUCCCACAGAAUAAUUCAGCAUCUGUGUGUUUCAGUAGGUGUUCCUUUUUGCGAGCCGGAUAGGGCUCCAGGUUGUACACUGUGCGUGCUUCCUGUUAGAAGAUACCGGCUCUAUUAUUUGGGAUUCACUAGCUAAAAUUGUUGGCGACUAUAUUUAGACUAGACUUUAGCUAGCCCUUCAUCUAUUGAGUGUAGGAGCGGUGAAUCAAAGCAAGUUAAUUAGUCUACUCUAGAUGUGCGAAAGAAACAUAAUGACUUUGUGAAGCAGAAAUAUGCACUUCAAAGUGAAAGGAGGAUCAAUCCCUAUUCAUAUACUUCAGAGUCGUUCCGUGAUUGUACUUUCUGCGUAUUAUAUGGCCGUGGUGCGCAAUAUUGAAUUUUGCUCCCUGUUUGCAAAUGCUCUUUAGGAGGCCGAACUAAUUAAGCAAGGAAUUGCAUUGGUAAUGUUUUCCCCUACCCCAAACUUGAUUAGUUCAGCACCAGCUCUUUUUGUUUACUUGAUAUAUAUGGUGCAAUUUCCAAAAGGUUUUUUAACCCGCAAUUAUUUUCAUUUAUAGAUGAUGAUUUCUUUAGAAGGGUUCCUAACUGAAUGUUGUACCCUCAACCGUGGCAAGCAAAAUUUUCAUGCAAUCAGCAUCACAAACAUUCAGUGGUAGUUAAUAGUCUAUAUCCUUGGUCACUCUCCAAACUUUACUAUUUCUCUCAAGAUUAAACCUAAUAUGACCAUAGCUAACAAAGAAGCUCUAAGUAGCGAGGAUCUGAGUUUUAAUAUAGCUGUUGCUAAUAUAUGAGAAGAAUGUGAGUACAGAAGAUCAUAAACUGAUCCAGUAAAGUAAUACUAUUAGUUUUAGGAUAUAUAUAUCUUCUCACGUUCUUCAAGUAGUCAGUUGUUAACUAUAUUUGUAAUAUAGUUAGAUUUGUUUCAUUACAUCGGAAGUCAUGCCAUAAAAUAUAUUCAAACUUCUCUCCUGAUUCAAGUCGCUGCCAUGCUGUUAUAUAUUUCUUUUCUUCAUUAUGAUUAUAUUAUAGAUGGCUUUCUUAGCAUUGAUAAAUUCACUGAUGUAAACACUUCUAUUUUGAUUCAGCAAAAUCUGGUAUUGAUUUUUAUGGUGGCUUUCAGUAAGUAACUCUUUACAAUUUCAAUCCUUUUUAUCAUUGGUUGAGUGCAGGCUAAUGCAAACCCAUUAGCUACAAUUCUUAGUAAUGCCAACACCUACGC
Long non-coding RNA from Triticum aestivum (bread wheat), 2108 nucleotides. RefSeq lists it as uncharacterized. NCBI's taxonomy places the organism in Eukaryota, Viridiplantae, Streptophyta, Magnoliopsida, Poales, Poaceae. The transcript is spliced from 5 exons. The record is from RefSeq and is a predicted model, not a curated record.